GGAGGAGUCGCAUAGUGGACUAGUGCGCAGUCCUGGAAAGACUGUAUGCCCGCAAGGGUAUCGUGGGUUCGAAUCCCACCUCCUCCGCCC
RNAcentral lists this transfer RNA (90 nucleotides) under Candidatus Curtissbacteria bacterium RIFCSPLOWO2_12_FULL_38_9. Its description in RNAcentral is "tRNA-Ser". It matches the Rfam family "tRNA". From Rfam's summary of the family: Transfer RNA (tRNA) molecules are approximately 80 nucleotides in length. Their secondary structure includes four short double-helical elements and three loops (D, anti-codon, and T loops). Lineage: Bacteria; Candidatus Curtissiibacteriota. The record is from RNAcentral.